GCGCGAAAACUUUACAAUGCGGGCAACCGCGAUAAGGGGACCUCGAGUGCUGGGUUACAAACCUGGCUGUUGGGCUGCCUAAAAAGCAGUCUAUAGCAAGGGCCGGGCAAGACCGGUGCCAGCCGCCGCGGUAACACCGGCGGCUCGAGUGGUAACCGCUAUUAUUGGGUCUAAAGGGUCUGUAGCCGGCCGACUAAGUCUCUUGGGAAAUCUGGCAUCUCAAGUGUCAGGCUGCCAGGGGAUACUGGUCGGCUUGGGACCGGGAGAGGUGAGAGGUACCUCGGGGGUAGGGGUGAAAUCUUGUAAUCCUCGAGGGACCACCAGUGGCGAAGGCGUCUCACCAGAACGGAUCCGACGGCAAGGGACGAAAGCUAGGGGCACGAACCGGAUUAGAUACCCGGGUAGUCCUAGCCGUAAACGAUACUCGCUAGGUGUCGGCCACGGUGCGACCGUGGUCGGUGCCGUAGGGAAGCCGUGAAGCGAGCCACCUGGGAAGUACGGCCGCAAGGCUGAAACUUAAAGGAGUUGGCGGGGGAGCACCACAACGGGUGGAGCCUGCGGUUUAAUUGGAUUCAACGCCGGAAAGCUUACCGGGGGCGACAGCAACAUGAAGGUCAGGCUGAAGACCUUACCGGAUUCGCU
RNAcentral lists this ribosomal RNA (642 nucleotides) under uncultured Methanosaeta sp. RNAcentral describes it as "bacterial SSU rRNA". It matches the Rfam family "Archaeal small subunit ribosomal RNA", at positions 339 to 981 of the family's 1478-position model. Lineage: Archaea; Methanobacteriati; Methanobacteriota; Methanomicrobia; Methanotrichales; Methanotrichaceae. The record is from RNAcentral.